RNAcentral lists this ribosomal RNA (815 nucleotides) under uncultured organism. RNAcentral's name for it is "bacterial SSU rRNA". It matches the Rfam family "Bacterial small subunit ribosomal RNA", at positions 11 to 870 of the family's 1533-position model. The record is from RNAcentral.
GUUGAUCCUGGCUCAGGAUGAACGCUGGCGGUCUGCUUAACACAUGCAAGUCGAACGCAACCUUCGGGUUGAGUGGCGGACGGGUGAGUAACGCGUGAGAAUCUGCCUUGGGGUCGGGGACAACCACUGGAAACGGUGGCUAAUACCGGAUAAGCCUUUGGGUAAAAGAUUUAUUGCCCCAAGAGGAGCUCGCGUCUGAUUAGCUAGUUGGUGAGGUAAAAGCUCACCAAGGCAGCGAUCAGUAGCUGGUCUGAGAGGACGAUCAGCCACACUGGGACUGAGACACGGCCCAGACUCCUACGGGAGGCAGCAGUGGGGAAUUUUCCGCAAUGGGCGAAAGCCUGACGGAGCAAGACCGCGUGAGGGAGGAAGGCUCUUGGGUUGUAAACCUCUUUUCUCAGGGAAGAAGCUCUGACGGUACCUGAGGAAUCAGCCUCGGCUAACUCCGUGCCAGCAGCCGCGGUAAUACGGAGGAGGCAAGCGUUAUCCGGAAUUAUUGGGCGUAAAGCGUCCGCAGGUGGCGAUUCAAGUCUGCUGUCAAAGCACGGGGCUUAACUCCGUUAAGGCAGUGGAAACUGAAUAGCUAGAGUGCCGUAGGGGUAGAGGGAAUUCCCGGUGUAGCGGUGAAAUGCGUAGAGAUCGGGAAGAACAUCGGUGGCGAAAAGCGCUCUACUGGACCGGCAACUGACACUCAGGGACGAAAGCUAGGGGAGCGAAUGGGAUUAGAUACCCCAGUAGUCCUAGCUGUAAACGAUGGAUACUAGGUGUAGCUUGUAUCGACCCGAGCUGCGCCGAACUAACGCGUUAAGUAUCCC